CUACAAAAAUCUUGGUUUAUGUUAUAUAGGUGAGUUUCAACUCACAACCUCUCUAAGCUUGUAAUAAGCUAUGAGCUGAAUUUCUAACAAGUUUACUUUCUAACAGCUAAAUUAACUACAGCCCAAAGGCAGCAGCCUGUUACUAUUUUAUAUCAUUUGUUGUUGAUUUGUUUUUUUUCAGAAUUGCAUUGGCAAAUCAUGAAAGGUGUAAUGUUCACGGAUUUUUGUUAGAUGAUCUGUUGGUCUGGUUUAAUUUUAGCGAGCAUGAGGCAUCUGGGAAACAUGUUUCAAGGGCCUUGUUUGUCGAUCUGGAGCCCACUGUUAGUAGAUUAUGGCAGUAAAUCAUAAUAGGUCAUGUUGUUGGACGAGGGCGGGCUGGCGGAGGGCGUGUCGGCGGACGACGUGGAGGU
This is a non-coding RNA of Triticum urartu, 410 nucleotides long. Lineage: Eukaryota; Viridiplantae; Streptophyta; Magnoliopsida; Poales; Poaceae. The record is from RefSeq and is a predicted model, not a curated record.